AUGGACCUACACGGCGGCGACCACUCCGUCUCUGACAGUCGCCAUCACCAGGUCGCCGCCGAGAUCGUCAGGGCCGGCAAGGAGUAUGGCUUUUUCCAGGUGGUGAACCACGGCGUGGUGCGGGGGUUCCGGGAGGCGGCGGCGGGGUUCUUCGCGAUGCCGGCAGAGGAGAAGCUCCCCUACUGCUCGUACCACAUGAGCAAGCGCUUCCAGCUCGCCAGCAGCACCUCCUAUGACCGCGACGAGACCCGCUACUGGCGCGACUACAUCAAGUUCCGCUGCUACCCGGCCUCCGACGAGAAUGCGCGCCACUGGCCGUCCAAGCCGGCCAACUUCACGCCCAGCCUCGUCGAUUCUGUUUAUUUGCGUUCGGAUCAGUUUAUGGAUCUUAGAACCUCCUGA
RNAcentral lists this ribosomal RNA (402 nucleotides) under Triticum aestivum (bread wheat). Its description in RNAcentral is "partial small subunit ribosomal RNA". The record is from RNAcentral. Lineage: Eukaryota; Viridiplantae; Streptophyta; Magnoliopsida; Poales; Poaceae.